CCUACAAAUUGAAUGAAAUUACUCAUAGGGUUGAUAUUAAUAUUAAGAGAGAUCACAUAUGUAAAGAGCUUAGUACAGUGUAGUAUAGUGCAAGUAGUUAAUAAGAGUUAGGUAUUAGCAAUAUAUUAUAGUUUCAUAAUUUUUCUUCUAAAAACCAAUUGCCAAAGGAUGUAUUCCUUUAGUUGAAAUACUAUAGCUCGAUUGUGUAUAUAAACAUAUACAUUAAUUUGUAAAAGUCAGUUUAAAAAUAAGUAUAAUGGCAUUUUUGAAACAUAGCCCUAUAAAUAAUAAACAUGCUUCCAAGUUCUCAAUGGAUGAUAAAAGCCAUCAACAGGCCCUUGUCCUGCUGAGUUUCCCUGUGAAGCCAACAGCUCAGCCAGCCCCUCAAAGGCCAUGGAAGCUUGAAGGUCAGACACUGCGUGUAGGGGUCACCUGCAGAUUUAACUCUUAAAUGCGAGUCGCUUAGAUCUGUGGCUGCAUCUAUUUCUGUGAGGUACCAGACGUCUUCUACAUUUGGAACAUUGAUGAUAUGAUAAAGGAAGUCAUGCCAAUAAUCAUACCCAAAGCUGCUUAAUGAAAGGAAGAAUGGAGAGUCACACAAACAUCACCUCUUAGUAAUAGAAACUUGACUGGGAGACCCAAGCGAGGCCCCUUCUACCACCAGCAUUCAAGCUGCAUUAAACUAAAAUGUCAAAAAUAC
RNAcentral lists this long non-coding RNA (700 nucleotides) under Homo sapiens (human). RNAcentral's name for it is "HSALNT0407203". Lineage: Eukaryota; Metazoa; Chordata; Mammalia; Primates; Hominidae. The record is from RNAcentral.